RNAcentral lists this ribosomal RNA (637 nucleotides) under Anticheta analis. RNAcentral's name for it is "partial 12S ribosomal RNA". The stretch from base 1 to 420 matches the Rfam family "Microsporidia small subunit ribosomal RNA", at positions 747 to 1311 of the family's 1311-position model. The record is from RNAcentral. Lineage: Eukaryota; Metazoa; Arthropoda; Insecta; Diptera; Sciomyzidae.
UGCUUGAGUAGUAUUAGUUAUGUUCUUGAAACUUAAAAAAUUUGGCGGUAUUUUAGUCUAUUCAGAGGAACCUGUUCUGUAAUCGAUAAUCCACGAUGGACCUUUCUUAUUCUUGUAUCUCAGUUUAUAUACCGUCGUUAUUAGAGAAUUUUAAAAGAAUAAUAAUUUUCAAUAGUUUUUAUUAGAAUUUAUAUCAGAUCAAGGUGUAGCUAAUGAAUGAGUAGAAAUGGGUUACAAUAAAAAUAUUUAUAUGGAUGUAAUUAUGAAAAAGUUACUGAAAGUGGAUUUGAUAGUAAAAUUAUAUAGAUAAAUAAUUUGAUUUUAGCUCUAAAAUAUGCACACAUCGCCCGUCGCUCUUAUUACUAAGAUAAGAUAAGUCGUAACAUAGUAGAUGUACCGGAAGGUGUCUCUAGAAUGACAAUUUAAAGCUUAUAUAGUAAAGUAUUUCAUUUACAUUGAAAAGAUUUAUGUGCAAAUCAUUAUAAAUUGAUUAGAUUUUAUUUAUUAAUAAGUUUAUUUAUUAAUUGUUUUUAUUAAAAAUAAUUGUAAGUUUUAUAGUUUUAGUAUUGUUUAAAGAAAAAAUAUUAUUAAUUAUAGUGAAUUAGUAUUGUAAAAGAAUAUUGAAAUAGUUGAAAAA